UACGGGGGGGGUAAGCGUUGUUCGGAAUUACUGGGCGUAAAGCGCAUGUAGGCGGUUGGGCAAGUUGAGUGUGAAAGCUCCCGGCUAAACUGGGAGAGGACAUUUAAGACUGCCCGGCUAGAGGUCGGUAGAGGGGCGCAGAAUUCGGGGUGUAGCGGUGAAAUGUGUAGAGAUCCCGAGGAACACCGAUGGCGAAGGCAGUGUUCUGGGCCAGUACUGACGCUGAGGAGCGAAAGCGUGGGGAGCAAACAGG
Molecule: ribosomal RNA, 253 nt
Filed under: uncultured bacterium
Lineage: Bacteria
Description: partial 16S ribosomal RNA
Rfam family: Bacterial small subunit ribosomal RNA
Source: RNAcentral